GUUCUGGGAGUGCCACAUGGAGAAAACUUCCACAUCACUGUAAAAUGCUUCAUGGUGAAUAAAGAGAAAAGACUCCUCUAAGGCAGGUGAGAUGUCACACCUACUUCCUUCCUUUUCCACCUGUGUGACAGUAAUUGUGCCAGGAGAGGUCUGUACAUAAAUCUCUGCAAAAACUGCAUUUGCUCAGUCACGGACAGAGCUUCCAGCAAGCAUUUCUGUUUCUGUUUGGGUGGCAGUUCAUGGCUCAUUGGAACAUUUGCACUCUGGUAAUUUUUUUUUUCCUUUUCUACUAAAUAUUUGAACCAUUUGUACUUUUCAUCCCCUUUUAUAGUACCAUUAGGAACAGCUGUAAAGUGUUUUCAAAUGCCAAGUUUAACUGGGAAAAUACUUUUAAAAACUACAAAGGCUACUUUUGCUUAUGUGAUUGAUGGUGGUGUUGAAAAGCCAAAGUGCAUGCAGGUAUGGUGUUAGAGGGUACCAGAUGGUGUUUCUUCUCCAGGAAAAGGAAAAUGAACCCAUUGCCUCUCUAUUGUUUCCCUUUUAUUUGUGUUGCACGAGAAAUUAGCAUCUUUCUGUGAGAUCAUGUGGCAAACCAACCUACCUUGGGACAUUCUUCUCCUCAGGGAAUAUUUGGCUUGUCAUCGUUAUGGGAGCACUCAUAAAGGCCCAGAUGAAAUUCCGAUUGGGUUUGCCCAAAGUCCAUCAGACCCUUUCUUUGCUGCCAGCAGCAGCUUUGGGACCCAGCACAAAGCCCCUCUCGCUCUGGGGUUUGGUGCAGGAUGCAGCUCACAGAUCUGGGCAGACCCUUCAGCAGGGUGUUGUCUGAAUUUGUCAGUCCCUGUGACUGCUCUUCUGUCAUUCCUACUGUUGCACUGGGGCGAGUGA
RNAcentral lists this long non-coding RNA (885 nucleotides) under Zonotrichia albicollis (white-throated sparrow). Its description in RNAcentral is "lncRNA (ENSZALG00000015777.1)". The record is from RNAcentral. Lineage: Eukaryota; Metazoa; Chordata; Aves; Passeriformes; Passerellidae.